CUACGUGCCAGCAGCCGCGGUAAUACGUAGGUGGCGAGCGUUAUCCGGAAUUAUUGGGCGUAAAGGGUGCGUAGGCGGCCUGUUAAGUAAGUGGUUAAAUUGUUGGGCUCAACCCAAUCCAGCCACUUAAACUGGCAGGCUAGAGUAUUGGAGAGGCAAGUGGAAUUCCAUGUGUAGCGGUAAAAUGCGUAGAUAUAUGGAGGAACACCAGUGGCGAAGGCGGCUUGCUAGCCAAAGACUGACGCUCAUGCACGAAAGCGUGGGGAGCAAAUAGGAUUAGAUACCCUAGUAGUCCACGCCGUAAACGAUGAAUACUAAGUAUUGGGGAAACUCAGUGCUGCAGCUAACGCAAUAAGUAUUCCGCCUGUGGAGUAUGCACGCAAGUGUGAAACAUAAAGGAAUUGACGGGGGCCCGCACAAGCGGUGGAGUAUGUGGUUUAAUUCGACGCAACGCGAGGAACCUUACCAGCGUUUGACAUC
Molecule: ribosomal RNA, 480 nt
Filed under: uncultured bacterium
Lineage: Bacteria
Description: bacterial SSU rRNA
Rfam family: Bacterial small subunit ribosomal RNA
Source: RNAcentral